This 1294-nucleotide long non-coding RNA is filed under the name Cricetulus griseus (Chinese hamster). RNAcentral describes it as "lncRNA (ENSCGRG00015034756.1)". The record is from RNAcentral. Lineage: Eukaryota; Metazoa; Chordata; Mammalia; Rodentia; Cricetidae.
GUCAAAUCCCUGGGUCAGCGUUUCAGGGAGUCUUGGUCCACCCUGAGCUGGGCACCGUGUGGCUCGGCCCGCGGUGUAGACCCCGUCCCCACCAGAGAGAACCACGGCCAGAUGCUCCAACUCCGCGAGCCGAUGUUGCCCUUUCGUGCUACGCUGCCCGGCUUGCUCCUCGGGCUUUGUAUCGGGGUCCUCGCCGCUUUGCCCCGAUUGUCCUAUCCAGGCGCUGUCUGCGGGUGUGGAAAUCCCCCGACCCAGAGCUGCACUGCCCUGAGGACCUGCUGGUACGAGAGAUGGAGCUUCGGCUCGAGAGGUUUGACUACGCUGUGUUUCCUUGACCAGAGGCACUAGCCUACCCUCAGAAAACCCUCGGUGUCCAUCAGAUUAUCCAUACUUCAUGUGCUGGCUCGCUGGCUCUGCUUCCCUCAGCUCAAGUGCGCCCCCUGGUGCCCUGAACCUUCGCUAGCCGUCCUGCCAGCGCAUGCCCUCCCAGACUUGGUCUAAACCUGAGGAUGGGUUUGGGGGUCUGAUGACCCACUGUGCAGAAUCUCACAAGCUCCAAGUUGGACCUGCCACCUGCAAAUAUAUUCAGACCUUCAGUCCUUUUCCUGAGCCAUCUGCUUGAGAACUUUCUCCAGAUAAAUCUCUAAAAUGUUUCUCCCUUAAAAUUGUGUCCCUUUCUCCCUUGGGUAGUAGCACCAUCUGGCUUUUUUUGUUGUUGUUCUUUUGGCGGGGACGUUGUUGAGACCGGGUAUCACUAUGUAGACCAUGCUGGCCUCUGUCUCCCGAGUGCUGGAUUCAUAGGCAUUUGCCACCAUACUGGGCGAAUAACAUCUAAUGGAGUUAGAUGCUGUGAAUUUACCUUUUCAACAGAGCAGUUAGAUUAUCUACUGUGAGGCUCCGCUUCCUACCCCCAUCCCCCACUGCACCAGUAUAGCCAGGCGUCCCGUUUAUCUAAUCUGCCCAUUUCUGUUCCUGAGACACAGCUAUUCAUCCAGCAAUCUCUGCAUCUCAUAUCCACUCCGCAGUGAAUUGUGGGAAAUGUAAACCUGACCUUGAUAAACCUGACCUCUUGCUAGAUUCUGCAGAGACUCUCUGCCAUUUGUUCUGCUAGAUAAAGUUCAAGUUCCCCAACUGACCCGCCCAUGUUGCUUCCUUCACCGCAGCCUUUCUCCUCCUCCUGGUCCUGAGUGCUCCGAUCCGAUGGAAUCGCUGGGGUUCUCAAUUUGCUCUUCUCUCAACAGGGCCCUUUCUUGGGCAGCACCUCCUCUGAAAAACCUUCGCUAGCCACACUCUA